Cinara cedri is the source of this 332-nucleotide non-coding RNA. Lineage: Eukaryota; Metazoa; Arthropoda; Insecta; Hemiptera; Aphididae. The record is from the annotation of a GenBank genome assembly.
CAGUUCAUCCGACCUUGGUAAAAAUACUAUUGAUAGCCUAUCCAUUAUAUCAUUAAUAUCCAUAGGGAUAUCUCGUCUGAUAAUUAAAAUACCGAAAAAACCUAAUUACAAACCCAGAUAAAUGUUAUUCCCUUUAAAACACCGGGCUUAUAAUAUACCCGUAAAGUGUUUAUGAGCGCUUAUUCAUUUUCUCGUGAUGUGGUCGAUAAAACCUAUACUCUUAUCUCUAACUAGUACUUUAUGGAAUCGAUUUCUCGACAUGUCAGUCUAUUGUCUUUCGAUCAUAGUACAUCGAUUAUACUAUGGUACAUUGCCGUGAAAUGUAUAUUUUA